CCUGCCGUUGCCGGCGACCGGCGCACGGGUGAGUAACACGUAUGCAACCUGCCCGUGGCAGGGGGAUAAGCGGGGAAAACCCCGUCUAAUACCGCGUAACGCGGCCUAGGGACAUCCCAAGGCCGCCAAAGGGAGCAAUCCCGGCCACGGAUGGGCAUGCGGCGCAUUAGCUAGUCGGCGGGGUAACGGCCCACCGAGGCGACGAUGCGUAGGGGUUCUGAGAGGAAGGCCCCCCACACUGGUACUGAGACACGGACCAGACUCCUACGGGAGGCAGCAG
Molecule: ribosomal RNA, 280 nt
Filed under: uncultured bacterium
Lineage: Bacteria
Description: partial 16S ribosomal RNA
Rfam family: Bacterial small subunit ribosomal RNA
Source: RNAcentral